UUUAGUUCUUCUCCAGGGACUAUCUUGCCUUACAAGCAAACGACUAAAACCUGAAAUAAAUGACAUUCCACACUGAUUUCAAUGCGAAAGCAUGCACAAUGUUAACAUGGAAACAAUGUUAACAAGAUUGUUACCAGGCCAUAGGUCCUUAACCGUACUAAAUUCUGCCCAAACGGCCAUUUUGAAUCAUUGUUUUGAUUGGAUUCUUAUAUUGUUUGCUAUAAUUUUUGACAUUAUAUGAAUAUAAAGCCCUUCUUCACCACAGAGUAGUAAGUUGUCCAUACCGGCUACAAAUUGAACACAUUCUUCAUACAGAACUGUUUGAGAAUUGCAGAAACCAGUAAACAUGAUUCCGAAUUACCUCCCUUGAUUUACGAACAGUAUUGGUCAUACAAUAGUGUUAUGGGCAAACACUCUGUUAAAAAACAAAACCUUAGGAAUAUAUAAUUAAGCAAAAGCAUGUUUCAUGGGUGUUUGAUCAUUUUGGAAAUUUGUCGUUUUACCUUAAGGUGGCACACUACAGUUUUUUUAGUCUCGGCCAAUCGCGUACACAAGCAGGAGCGAACCAAUGUCUGGAAACUGGUCACCUCGCAAAUCUGAAAAUAAACCAAGCACAUUGCCAGAAUGGUUGAGGCUGUGCCUUCUGAAAAAUCAGUAACAUUCAAAUCAAAUGAGUUGGGGCAAAAUGUUUUAGUAUUGAUUAUUUCAAAUCAAAACAUCAGAAUUAUGUGUGUUUCCGAGCCUUUUUAAGCCAGUUUCAACAACAAACUGCCACUUUCCUGCAGAAGCAAGGUGCCUGGAAACCAUGUUUUUACAUUGGUAACUUACCAAGUACUAAACAGCAAUGGAGAAAAUUGGGGGUCAAAGGAUUAGAUUUUUUGUAAUAGUUCAAUGUCCGUACGCCCUUUCAAAUUUCCAACAGAAAUACUGACCGGAGCCAGCAUUACACCUGUUUUCGAAUUGCAUUAAUUCUACUUCCUGUAUGCAGCUAUAGUUAAAAUACCAAUGUUUUGGUAACUUACAAACAUCCAAGAAAAAUCACCACAACUCAAACCUGACAUUCAUUAUUAUUAAGACACUCAAAAUGGUGCUUACUUGAGCAAUGUUCUCUUUAUUUAGAAAUUUGACCGGGGCCAAUUCGCAUUGGUGGCUAAAAAGUGUGGUGUGCAGCCUUAAGGGCAAGCAAAGUCUUAGAA
This is a long non-coding RNA of Dreissena polymorpha, 1196 nucleotides long. RefSeq lists it as uncharacterized. The record is from RefSeq and is a predicted model, not a curated record. NCBI's taxonomy places the organism in Eukaryota, Metazoa, Mollusca, Bivalvia, Myida, Dreissenidae. The transcript has 2 exons.